RNAcentral lists this ribosomal RNA (253 nucleotides) under uncultured bacterium. RNAcentral describes it as "partial 16S ribosomal RNA". It matches the Rfam family "Bacterial small subunit ribosomal RNA", at positions 524 to 776 of the family's 1533-position model. The record is from RNAcentral.
UCCGAAGGGGGCUAGCGUUGCUCGGAAUCACUGGGCGUAAAGCGCACGUAGGCGGCUUUUUAAGUCAGGGGUGAAAUCCUGGAGCUCAACUCCAGAACUGCCUUUGAUACUGAGAAGCUUGAGUCCGGGAGAGGUGAGUGGAACUGCGAGUGUAGAGGUGAAAUUCGUAGAUAUUCGCAAGAACACCAGUGGCGAAGGCGGCUCACUGGCCCGGUACUGACGCUGAGGUGCGAAAGCGUGGGGAGCAAACAGG